GAGCUGUGAAGAAAUUGGCAUAAGCGUUGGUUGGGUCCUUCGCAUUCUUCUGAUUUCUCGGAUGUAUUCGCCACCCUCCUGAGCUC
RNAcentral lists this small nucleolar RNA (86 nucleotides) under Capsella rubella. RNAcentral describes it as "small nucleolar RNA snoR114". It matches the Rfam family "small nucleolar RNA snoR114". The record is from Rfam by way of RNAcentral. Lineage: Eukaryota; Viridiplantae; Streptophyta; Magnoliopsida; Brassicales; Brassicaceae.